This 490-nucleotide ribosomal RNA is filed under the name uncultured bacterium. RNAcentral describes it as "partial 16S ribosomal RNA". It matches the Rfam family "Bacterial small subunit ribosomal RNA", at positions 30 to 507 of the family's 1533-position model. The record is from RNAcentral.
AUUGAACGCUGGCGGCAGGCCUAACACAUGCAAGUCGAACGGUAACAGGAAGCAGCUUGCUGCUUUGCUGUCGAGUGGCGGACGGGUGAGUAAUGUCUGGGAAACUGCCUGAUGGAGGGGGAUAACUACUGGAAACGGUAGCUAAUACCGCAUAACGUCGCAAGCCCAAAGUGGGGGACCUUCGGGCCUCUUGCCAUUCGCUUUUCCCAGAUGGGAUUAGCUAGUAGGUGGGGUAACGGCUCACCUAGGCGACGAUCCCUAGCUGGUCUGAGAGGAUGACCAGCCACACUGGAACUGAGACACGGUCCAGACUCCUACGGGAGGCAGCAGUGGGGAAUAUUGCACAAUGGGCGCAAGCCUGAUGCAGCCAUGCCGCGUGUAUGAAGAAGGCCUUCGGGUUGUAAAGUACUUUCAGCGGGGAGGAAGGGAGUAAAGUUAAUACCUGUGCACAUUGACGUUACCCGCAGAAGAAGCACCGGCUAACUCCGUG